AUAAGCGCCGGUAAGGUGAUAUGAACCGUUAUAACCGGCGAUACCCGAAUGGGGAAACCCAGUGUGAUUCGUCACACUAUCAUUAACUGAAUCCAUAGGUUAAUGAGGCGAACCGGGGGAACUGAAACAUCUAAGUACCCCGAGGAAAAGAAAUCAACCGAGAUUCCCCCAGUAGCGGCGAGCGAACGGGGAGGAGCCCAGAGCCUGAAUCAGCAUGUGUGUUAGUGGAAGCGUCUGGAAAGGCGCGCGAUACAGGGUGACAGCCCCGUACACAAAAGCGCAUGUGCUGUGAGCUCGAUGAGUAGGGCGGGACACGUGGUAUCCUGUCUGAAUAUGGGGGGACCAUCCUCCAAGGCUAAAUACUCCUGACUGACCGAUAGUGAACCAGUACCGUGAGGGAAAGGCGAAAAGAACCCCGGCGAGGGGAGUGAAAAAGAACCUGAAACCGUGUACGUACAAGCAGUGGGAGCACAGGUUUACCUGUGUGAC
RNAcentral lists this ribosomal RNA (489 nucleotides) under Salmonella enterica subsp. enterica serovar Enteritidis. RNAcentral describes it as "partial 23S ribosomal RNA". It matches the Rfam family "Bacterial large subunit ribosomal RNA", at positions 71 to 597 of the family's 2925-position model. Lineage: Bacteria; Pseudomonadati; Pseudomonadota; Gammaproteobacteria; Enterobacterales; Enterobacteriaceae. The record is from RNAcentral.